RNAcentral lists this long non-coding RNA (617 nucleotides) under Cyanistes caeruleus (blue tit). RNAcentral's name for it is "lncRNA (ENSCCEG00000013708.1)". Lineage: Eukaryota; Metazoa; Chordata; Aves; Passeriformes; Paridae. The record is from RNAcentral.
CAAUAAAGCGCCGCUGUGCUCAAUGCCUCAUCUAUGAUCGCAUAAGAGGUGCUGUUAAUUUCCAGGGAGUGAGUAAUAAGAACAAGUCCUACAUGUGCCCACCCUCUGCACAGGCACACUUGAACAGCAGGAGCUUCUCUUCCCCACAAGUGCCCUGGAGAUGCUUCUUUUUGAAGAACUGCACCGUGGGACACAUGGCAGUCCCAGCUGCUGCUGUGAAUGCCCCAUAGGAUACAGAGCCUAAAGGGUCAGCUCCUGGUCACACAGAGGCCUCUUGGUAACACACAGAGAGAAGAGGAAAGGAACUUCCCCAAAUCAGUGCCAUGCAAAGUAAAGUGAUGACAGUUAUGGAAAAGUGGAAGUAUAUUUCCUUUGAGGAUUCCCUCCUUUCCCUAAGAAUCCAGUUACUGUUCCUGCUUACAAACGAAUGGAUCAACAAGCAUCUGCUUAAUGCCUGCAAGGGCAAUUCCUUCUGAAAUAUUAAAAGGCUGAGAAGCUGGGCCUGUUAAUGAGGGCUGCUUGAGCAGUAAGUAGAGAGUCUUCUGUGUGUCUGGGGUUGAGCCAAGGAGGGGUCAGAGAAAUGAGCUAAGUUUGCUCCCAACUAAGCUUAAUGUGUU